Non-coding RNA from Ictidomys tridecemlineatus (thirteen-lined ground squirrel), 3956 nucleotides. The record is from RefSeq and is a predicted model, not a curated record. NCBI's taxonomy places the organism in Eukaryota, Metazoa, Chordata, Mammalia, Rodentia, Sciuridae.
UCCUCCAAGGUCAAGGUGUAGUGAAGGGGCCCUUUAAGGGGCGGCAGCUAGUCCGGUUGCCAGGGAGACGGCUGGACACAGCCCCGCCGGCUGCAGACAGCAUGUCUUCCAGAGUUCAGUCCUCAGUCCCCAAAGGCAAGGACCACCGGCCCUCAGGCCAGGAGCGUCAGCCCCUCCCAGAGGCCAACGCUGAAGCCGUGGACUUCCUCAACUCCCUCCAGCCCGAGGAGCUGCAGAUGCUCUUCUUCUCUGAGACCCUGGCCAUGGUCUCCGACACCGGGGAGCCUCGGGGAGAACUGACCAUCGAGGUGCAGAGAGGGAAACACAAGGACGAAAUGAGCAUCAUGUCCCAGUGCAUCCUCGUGCACGCCUUUAGCCAUGGCCUCCUGGAUAAAACCGUCUGCGGAAACUCGCUCCUGGGCUAUCUCUCCCAGACUUUGGAGACCGUGGAACAACAUAGUCGAGAGUUCAUCAAGUUCCUCAUCCUCCCCAUGGAACACAAGAUGAGUUUGCUGAAGCAGAAUGACCAGCUGGCCAUGACCAGAAGCAUCAAGGAGGGUGAGGAAGUGAAGACUGGUGUGGCCUUCUUCCCUUCGCACUCAAUUACUGGCUUCAUCUCCGAAGCUGCCAACCUGGUGCUGUUGAGGUUGAUGGCUCGAAGGCAGAAGGUCCCUCAAAACGCCCGCUUCCUGGCCUUGGACACUGAGGGCAAACUCUGCUACUCCACCUAUCGAGCCCUGGGCUUCCAGAACAUCCAGGUGGGCCACCAGCAGUCCGAGGUGUUCAUUGUGGAGCACACCGUGCAUUCGAACGAGGGUAUCCCCAUGUCCUGGCAGUUCUACAUGCUCUGUGAUGGGCACCUGGCUAAGAGGAUCCAGGUGGGCUCCCCUGGGUACUGCAUCAUCACCAAGAUGCCCAUCCUGAGGAAGGAGGACGUCGUAGAGCCAAAGCCCGUGUUUGAGAAGAAACCCCUGGAGUGGGAGGAGGACCUGGAGCUCUACUCUAGGUUCCUGGAGCGGAAGGUAAGGAGCGGCAGGGCCAGUCUGGGGUACCCCCCCCGGGCCAUGAACCCCCCAUUACCGAUCUCCCUGUCCCUCCCUCCUUUCCCCGUGGCCCCUCCCGGCUCUGAACCGCACACCCUGGGGGCCCUGCUGGGAGCGGGUGGGGGCUCCUGGCGCGGGUCCCCGGCUCCGACCCGGGCCUCCCCGCCAGGAGGAGCUGCGCCUGAGCCACGCCAGCUACCUGCGGCAGCACCCCGAGGCGCAGGCGCUCGUCUCCGACUUCCUGCUCUUCCUGCUGCUGCGCCAACCCCAGGACGUGGUCACCUUCGCCGCCGAGUACUUCGGCCCUUUUGCGGCGAACCGCCCGCCCUCACCGCCCUUGCGCUCCUCCCACAGGCCCAGCCCUUUCCGCUCGCCGGACCCCGGGGACGCCGCGGGCUCGGGGGCGGGCUGGGCGCACUAGGCUGGCGGGGACGCAGCAGGAAACGGGGGCGUCGCGGCGGGGCCCCUCGGGGACGUGGGCUGGUCCCGCCCGGGGCGGGCGCGCCGGCCCAGCUGCGGCUUUUGUGGGAAUAAACGGGGCGCUCCCGGCGCCGCUGGGCCAGCAGGGACUCCCCCUGGCCAGCGCCUGGUGCCUUUGACCCCACGAGUGGAGCGAGUCUCAGUCUUUCCUCCUAGAUGCCGGGCGCAUUGUUAUCCCAUUUCGCAGAUGAGAAAAUAGAAGCCUAGCGACUCUUAGAGUUGGCGCGGGAAGCAGGAUGAACCUGGACACUGCUCUUGAGUCUCCAGGUAGCAGACAUAGAGGGGCGGGGUCCUUGGCGCUCAGAAUCCUCUGGAUCCCACUAAGCACAGUCGCCCGCCCGAGGAGGGUCGUGAAACACCCCUGGCCUCGCUCUACUCCUUUGUGCUGCAUCUUCUCCGCGUCCCCACCGACACACGGGAACCCUCAAACGGCGGGGGAUCCCCAGGCACUGGCUCUCACUAAGUUGCUGAAGUUGGCUUUGAACUUGCGAUCCUCCUGCCUCAGCCUCCCGAGCUACUGGGAUUACAGGCAGGCACCACUGUGCCAGGCUCGAGGUAGAGGACACUUAAGGUUUUCCAGGCAGAGAAAAUGGCAUGAGCUGAGGGUACCAGCAGGAGAGUGGAACACCACCUUCUGGUAGAAAUGGUCUGUGCCUGUGAUGUCCACAAGGAAGCCACUAGCCAGUAUGGGCGUUCUGUACUGGAAAUGUGGCCAAAGAAUUGGAGCUUUACUUUUGAUUUAAAUUAACUUUCAAGAUAGAGUGGCUACCAUAUCAGAAGCAUAGCUCUAGAGAACAAAUUCUUACCCCAUCUGGCAGUCAGCCCAACAAAUACUGCCUCCCUUCACAGACUAGGAUUAUUCUGGGAAGUGGGAGAUCAGCAGUGAUAAGACACAGUCCCUGUCAUCAUGGAGCUUACAGGCGCCUGGAAACUGCCUUCCUCCCUAGAGCAUUGCCACCAGAGCAGGGCAUUGUGCCGAGAGAGCACACAACCUUGCCUGGGAAAAACCAUGGAGGGCUUCCUGGAGGAGGCCACACCAGGCAAAGGUUGUGGAGGAUGUUUCAGGAGAAAGCAGCAAGAAAAGGCUAGGAAGUUGGAGGCUACUACAGGGCUCAGGACAAGCUGAUGAAGAGGGUGGGAGCCUAACCAGCAUAUGGCCUGCUGUCCGAGACACUAAGACUCUGGACGUGAGUGAGGCAAAGGCCUGGAUGUCCACCUGUUUCUGCAAGUUUCCCUUCCCACAAGAAGCCUUGAAGAGAGCAGGUAAACUAAGAGCAGUGCUACAGGUAGAGCCUGUCUCAGUCUGUUCAGUGCUGCUUUAACAGAUUGCCAGAGGUUGGGUGAUUUACCAAGAAAAAAAAUGUAUUUCUCACAGUUCUGGAACUUGAGGAGUCUAAUGUCAGGGUGCUGGCAUCUGUGGAAGGCCUUCUUGCUACAUCACCCCAUGGUAGAAGUCAAGAGGGAGAGGGGGAGAGAGAGAAUGCAAAAAAGAUGAAGUUGGGGUCUCAAACCCUUUUAUAAUUGAUACUAAUUCACUCACAAGCCCCAUGAGCUAAACACCUCCCAACACUGUUGCCGUGGAGAUUAAGUUUCCAGUGCAGGUUUUUUGGGGACCAUAUUCAAACCAUAGCAGAGCCCUAAAGAAGAGUCUCUGGUAUUUAACUAGACAACAUUAAAACCAGGCUGGUAGUGCUUUGGGAGGUACAGACCUUGUCUUUGGACUCUCUGUCGGUUCUUCCCUUCAUUAAUCCUCUGGUUAAAUCUACAGUUCCCCUGAAACCAGCACGAAAAACCUGCUCCUGCUCAGUUUGAUGGUUUCUCCGUUUUGUUUUAUGACGUAUUGCAUCAAGAUUGUUCUCUACUGGGGCUGGAGCUGGGGCUCAGUGGUAGAGCACUAGCAUGCAUGAGGCACUGGGUUUGAUCCUCAGGAACACAUAAAAGUAAAAUAAAGUUGUGUCUACCGAAAACUAAAACAUAAAUAUUAAAAAAUUCUCUCUCUUAAAAAAAAUAAAAAUAAAAAAUAAAUAAAGGUAUUGUGUCCAUCUACAACUAAAAAAGAAAUUCUUUAACAGGAAUUGUUCUUUACUAUUUUAAUCAUUAUAAAUACCUCAUGUUUGAGAUCUUGGCAAGGCUUUGGUGGCUGAAUGAGUCCAUUCUGGCUGCUAUAAGAAAAUACCUUAGGCUGGGCGCUGUGGUGCGAGCUAUAAUCCCAGCGGCUUGGGAGGCUGAGGCAGGAGGAUCCCAAGUUCAAAGCCAGCCUCAGUAAUUUAGCAAGGCCUAAGCCACUCAGGGAGACCCUGUCUCUAAAUAUUAAAAAGCUGGGGCUGAGGCUCAGUGGGUAAGCACCCCUAGGCUCAACCCAGGUAUCAAAAAAAAAAAACUGUGUAAUUAUAAACAACAAAUUUAUUGCUGACAGUUCUAAGGGCCAGGAAG